Molecule: non-coding RNA, 26 nt
Filed under: Homo sapiens (human)
Lineage: Eukaryota; Metazoa; Chordata; Mammalia; Primates; Hominidae
Source: RNAcentral
UGUCCACGAGAGACUCCACACUGGAC